CGACGACUCUACAUCGUACAUUUUCUAACUAUUGACGGCCGUGGAACUGACAACGGAUUAGAUCGUCAGCCCGAAAAGAUUCGACCACCGUCUCGACAUUCUUCAAGACAUAGAAAGCGAGACGCAAGAAGCAUGGCGUGGGCUGUGUUGGUCUCAGCUUUCCUGUUGUCUACAGUGAUUGGUGAAGCAAAUGCAGAUUAACCUAGACUCACCUCUGCCAUGGCGAAUCUCAGCGGACAAAACACCAUGUCUCAAGACACGGGCAACGACAGUGACGAUGGUUUAGAAAACGACAAUGCUUAUUUCCUGGAAGACUUUCUGGUGGAAGCAAAUGUUCCAGAUGAAGUAGGGCACUUUUUCAGCUUUCUUAACGAUGAAAAAUAAUAUUUCACAAUUGGUAUUCAAAUACAUUCUGCAUAUCGAGAAAUCA
Long non-coding RNA from Branchiostoma floridae (Florida lancelet), 430 nucleotides. RefSeq lists it as uncharacterized. The transcript has 4 exons. The record is from RefSeq and is a predicted model, not a curated record. NCBI's taxonomy places the organism in Eukaryota, Metazoa, Chordata, Leptocardii, Amphioxiformes, Branchiostomatidae.